GAUGAACGCUGGCGGCGUGCCUAAUACAUGCAAGUCGAGCGAACGAACGAGAAGCUUGCUUCUCUGAUGUUAGCGGCGGACGGGUGAGUAACACGUGGAUAACCUACCUAUAAGACUGGGAUAACUUCGGGAAACCGGAGCUAAUACCGGAUAAUAUUUUGAACCGCAUGGUUCAAAAGUGAAAGACGGUCUUGCUGUCACUUAUAGGUGGAUCCGCGCUGCAUUAGCUAGUUGGUAAGGUAACGGCUUACCAAGGCAACGAUGCAUAGCCGACCUGAGAGGGUGAUCGGCCACACUGGAACUGAGACACGGUCCAGACUCCUACGGGAGGCAGCAGUAGGGAAUCUUCCGCAAUGGGCGAAAGCCUGACGGAGCAACGCCGCGUGAGUGAUGAAGGUCUUCGGAUCGUAAAACUCUGUUAUUAGGGAAGAACAUAUGUGUAAGUAACUGUGCACAUCUUGACGGUACCUAAUCAGAAAGCCACGGCUAACUACGUG
Molecule: ribosomal RNA, 497 nt
Filed under: uncultured bacterium
Lineage: Bacteria
Description: partial 16S ribosomal RNA
Rfam family: Bacterial small subunit ribosomal RNA
Source: RNAcentral